This 107-nucleotide small RNA is filed under the name Marmota monax (woodchuck). Lineage: Eukaryota; Metazoa; Chordata; Mammalia; Rodentia; Sciuridae. The record is from RNAcentral.
GUUGGGUGCUGUGGAGUAUGCCUGUAAUCUCAGCUACUCAGGAGGCUGAGACAGGAAGUUUGCAAGUUCGAGGCCAACCCUGGCAAUUUAGAAAGCCCCUGUCUCAA